GGCGCGGUAGCUCAGUUGGUUAGAGCGAACGACUCAUAAUCGUUAGGUCGGGGGUUCAAGUCCCCCCCACGCCACCA
This 77-nucleotide transfer RNA is filed under the name Sagittula stellata E-37. Its description in RNAcentral is "tRNA-Met". It matches the Rfam family "tRNA". Rfam says of the family: Transfer RNA (tRNA) molecules are approximately 80 nucleotides in length. Their secondary structure includes four short double-helical elements and three loops (D, anti-codon, and T loops). The record is from RNAcentral. Lineage: Bacteria; Pseudomonadati; Pseudomonadota; Alphaproteobacteria; Rhodobacterales; Roseobacteraceae. RNAcentral also lists the same sequence under 2 other names.